Molecule: long non-coding RNA, 2202 nt
Filed under: Nicotiana tabacum (common tobacco)
Lineage: Eukaryota; Viridiplantae; Streptophyta; Magnoliopsida; Solanales; Solanaceae
Description: long non-coding RNA (NTAB_LNC009971)
Source: RNAcentral
GAAUUAAAAAAAUAAUUGAACAAUGAGAGCAACAUUAGAGUUUAAAGUUCCAUUCUCAGACAUCUCAAAAAUCAAUAGGUCUAAGAGUACUGCUGCCUUUAAAGCUGAACACGUAACAGAGGAGUGUAAAUAUUACAAAUUCAAAAGAAAGACAUAUGAUGUUCGUGACACUACAGGUUUAGUUAUAAUAAAAGACAAAACUUCAAAUUUACUGGAAUUAAACAUUAGUACAUCACAGUGACUACUUCCUAUCAAAUACAACUUUAAUAGCCAAAACAAAAUAUAAGAAUGCCUUUAUUUUGAUUCCCAGAUUCCUCUUUAUUGCUCGUAGAAAGGCAAGACUAUCAACUAAUGUAUUUCAACACUGUCUGGAACCUCUCAAUCGCCAAAUUUGACCAACUGGUGAUUGAACUUGAAGAUUGACAACUUUAACCUAACAAGUGCCCUUUAAGCAUGAUUGAUCAAUUGGACAAAUCAAACUAAAUUUCAGAUCAUGUUAGGAGUAAAUUCCAUUUAUUGUAACAUAUUUAGGCAUACUUAGGUAGAGAUUGAACCAAAUAGUGAAUCAGUGAGUGAAGUCUUUGAAGCAUCAGGUAAUUUUAGCUUAAGCAUACAAUUUCAUAAACAGAACAAACGUAAGCAGAUCGAAUAGCCAACACUAGAAACGCAUAGACUUAGACAUGCUCGUGGAAUCAACAGUGCACUCGUCAUUUCCAUUUUCAACAGAGAAUUACAGAGAAAGAUCCACAUACCUAGAAGUAGAAUCAAUAGAUGAACUUGACAAAACAAGGAUGAAAGGUGAAAAUCUAGCCAGCAACAAACAACAUCAAUCUUAUAAUCAAACGAACAGUUUCAAGCUUGAAUACUACUCAAAAUCCUAGAAAAAUGAAGCAGAACCAGUAGAAAUUAAAAGAAAAAGCAGCUUUGAAUCUUAUUUUUUUGUUUUCUGUCUCUAACUUGAACUUUCAGCUUUGUUUUUCAAAAAAAAAAAUUAAAAUGAGGAAUCAGAUAAUAUAUUAUUUUCAACAUCUUUUCUAACAAAUUUGGACAUUUGUCCCUUUUUAGAAGUUUCUUCUUAUUUUCACUCUUUUAACCUUUGUAUUUUACCCCUUUUAAACCUAAUUUCUGACCUAAAUCCCCUUGUCCCAUUACAUUUAACUCUCAAAUGGAUCCCAAAUUGGGCCAGACCUGUUUAAAGACUUGGGCCUGUACCUCAAUCUUCCUUCUAAACCCAAUAAUGAACCAAAAUCCCCUAGUCCACAAGUCAAAACCCUACUCCCAAUUCCAGUAAUUUUAAACCUAAAGGAAAAUAAUUUCAGAAGUGACAAAAGCUAAUUACUUCUGAAAUCUAUCUAAACAAACCAACGUACGACAAAUAGCAAGACUAAUCUAAUUUAGACAAAGCACUACUGAAAAUGCAAUCGACUAUAGAAACAGAAGAAGCAAAACAAGGAAAAGAUUAUACAAUUCAAAGCAGAACAUACUCAAAAACCUAACAAAAUUUAGAUGAUUAACCUAACUAGUCGAGGUCAUACAAGUAAACUAUUAAUCUAACCUUGAAAACACAAACUUAAUGUUCAUUGAAUCCUAAUCGAUCUAAAACAUGUUAUACACAUGAAAACACACACAACUAAUAGAAAAACACAUAUAUGAGAAAAUCGAAACAUGACAGAAAAGUAACUAAAAAAAGAAAAGUUGGAGUACCUAUUGAUUUCAUAAGAGAAUGAGAGGGGAAAUUCCAUAUAAUCUAAUAGGGACUAAAAACUGAGAUGAUUAUCUGAAAAUGCUCCAUGGACAACUCAGACAUGAAUUAAACUAACAUAAAUCGAUUGCUCUUGUCAAAAGCAAUCAAUUUAUGUGAUUUUGAAACCAAAUCGACUUGAAUUAUUGAGAAACAACAAAAGCUUGAACUAGGGUUUUUUGGCCUUCUUAGAUGUGAAAUUGGAGAAGAUUGGUGGAGAUUUUGGGGAAAUUGGUAGGGGGUUAAGGUUUAGGGGGUGUGAGGAUGAUGGGGUGUUUAUUUGGGGCGGUUUAGAGUAGUGCCGCCGUAGGCGAUUUCCAGCAGCAGCAGACGGCGAGGGAUGAGAGAGGGGUAAGAGAGAUGAGUCUAAGAUGAUUUUGGGGGUAUGGGUCUCUCUCUCACAGAAAGUUUGAGGGGUGGAAGUGGGUAGUUCCCAGCCGUUGGAUCAUAGGAGAUCUUCG